RNAcentral lists this transfer RNA (68 nucleotides) under Marmota monax (woodchuck). RNAcentral's name for it is "tRNA.Val". The stretch from base 6 to 63 matches the Rfam family "tRNA", at positions 8 to 63 of the family's 71-position model. Rfam says of the family: Transfer RNA (tRNA) molecules are approximately 80 nucleotides in length. Lineage: Eukaryota; Metazoa; Chordata; Mammalia; Rodentia; Sciuridae. The record is from RNAcentral.
GGAUAUAGCUCAGUUGGUAGAGUUCUUGCCUCACAUGCACAAGACCCUGGGUUCAAUCCCCAGCACCA